This 758-nucleotide long non-coding RNA is filed under the name Amborella trichopoda. Its description in RNAcentral is "long non-coding RNA (ATRI_LNC002238)". The record is from RNAcentral. Lineage: Eukaryota; Viridiplantae; Streptophyta; Magnoliopsida; Amborellales; Amborellaceae.
CUAUCCCAAUCUUGUCAACCUCUUCCCCUUCUCCUUCGUCUUCCCCUUCUCCUUCAUUUGACUUUGAGAUUGAGAUCGAGCGGUUUGCACAGGGCUCAAUGGUGUCCCAGCAGUCUCACAAACCUGGUCAGGUUAAGCCCUCUCCAAGGAAUACCGCAUCAUGCCUAGCACCAACUAGCCACUCGCUAGUAUCAUUGGAUUUGUUGCUGCUAGAUCAUGGCCUCUGUUUGCUGCAAGGUGUGGAAUUCCAUAUUGGAGAGCAGAACAUGCCAUCUAGUAUGCGAGCUUGCUUGUGUUUCAUCCCUGGGGUUUCUGUUUUGAACUGGCCUCCUCCAGUUCUUCUUACUAUUGAGGUGGUACAACAGUUAGCCCCCAGUUUAAUGAAGCCAUACUGUUAGUUGAUUUCCCUCCUCAUAUCCAAGAACCUCCCUUUCACUGCCCUCCCGCUCAUGAUGGCACUCUUGCAGCUUUUGAUUAUAUUAAAAGAAGACAAGGUCAUUAGUCGUUUUUGCUGAAGUUUGUUCCUCAUUGGUCACUUUUGCUGAAGUUUGUUCCUCUUCUUUGUAUGGAUGUAUUAGAUAAAUGUUGGGUUGGUUAGGAUAUUUUAGAAUUUUAAGAGAUAGGAUAUCUUAGAAAUUAAAGAGACAGGACUCCUAGUUUAUUGAAAGCUUUCUAACUAUUAGGGAGAGAUUUGUGUGAGAUUGAGAGAGAGAGAGAAUUAUGUAAAUAAAUCAGUUUUGGGUCUUGUGAAAAGAUAU